Cajanus cajan (pigeon pea) is the source of this 504-nucleotide long non-coding RNA. RefSeq lists it as uncharacterized. NCBI's taxonomy places the organism in Eukaryota, Viridiplantae, Streptophyta, Magnoliopsida, Fabales, Fabaceae. The record is from RefSeq and is a predicted model, not a curated record.
CUAGUUAACAAUGUAACAUCCUAGAAAAAUCGAAAUGAGAGGGAUCUAGAGGUUGUACAAGUAUGAGAUUAAGAUCAACUUGAUAUCAUGUAUACAUCUCUUGAUAGCCUGUAUAGACCACACAAUGUCAUAGAAGGAUAAGAUGAAAAGAGAAGGACUCUGUGUUGGGCUCAAGAAUCUAAAUCCAAAGAACUGGGAGAACUAGAGGUCGUGGGAAAUCACCCUGGAAAUCCAUGUCCCUCUUCUAGCUUCCACCGAGAUAAGGGGGAUGAGCAGUCUCACUCUAAGCAUGAGGUAAAACUCAAUAUGAUGGUGAUGAUGUUGGAGAUGAGGUAUACACCUUACCUUGGGUUCAUGCUAUAAUAGGAUGUGACAUCAAAGCUUAGUUAGGAUUUGAAUUCUGCUAUAUGUUCAUGUUUAGGACGAUUAUUAGUCUCCGUUGUUAUUAAAUUUCAGUAAACAUUAGGUUGGCAUAUUGUUUUCGAUUAGUAUGUAAUGUGAUAU